CAUUCCCGCGGCGAGCAGAGUAAUGUAAAGACGUGCCACUCGCAACUAAAUUUCACAAGUGUAGGAAAAUGGCUCCUGCAAAGAUGUUCGCUUUUAUUGUUAUUACGUGUUCACUUGUAGAUGUCACUUACACUGUGUCAACAACAGCUAUGGUAACACCAUCUGCAACACCUACUUAUUAUGAUUGGUGUUCGUCUAAUCCCUGUCGUAAUGGAUUUUCAUGUUAUAAUAAUCGUUGUUAUUGUUAUGCUGGAUAUACGGGAC
Patella vulgata (common limpet) is the source of this 264-nucleotide long non-coding RNA. RefSeq lists it as uncharacterized. NCBI's taxonomy places the organism in Eukaryota, Metazoa, Mollusca, Gastropoda, Patellidae. The record is from RefSeq and is a predicted model, not a curated record. The transcript has 3 exons.